This 376-nucleotide unclassified non-coding RNA is filed under the name Plagiobothrys oppositifolius. RNAcentral describes it as "partial external transcribed spacer". Lineage: Eukaryota; Viridiplantae; Streptophyta; Magnoliopsida; Boraginales; Boraginaceae. The record is from RNAcentral.
GACGGGUCUCGUGAUACCUGUUAUCUCGAGCUGUGAAUCGNUUUCNUGUGUUGCNUACCUCNAGAGAAGGNAAUCGGUAGUCCCAACGUCCCAUUUCGCCUUGCGUUGUCCCUAUCCGGGGCGACGCGGGGUGAACCAUGAAGCAAUCUCUGCGUCCCACUCCACCCACAUUAGGUUGUGGUCGUGGAUUGGUCCGCAGGGCAUUCGCUUGAGCUCUCGGAUGCGGUGCAUUAUAAGCGGGCACGGGGACUCACGUCCUCUAUUUGCCCGAAAUAAAGCUUUCAUCGCUUAGUUGCGAACGAUUGCGAUCCCCGUUUCGAGCCCCCGGGCAAGUGCGGCGGUCGCUUCGUUGAGGAAUGCUACCUGGUUGAUCCAG